This 406-nucleotide RNase P RNA is filed under the name Sandaracinaceae bacterium. RNAcentral's name for it is "RNase P RNA component class A". It matches the Rfam family "Bacterial RNase P class A". Rfam says of the family: Ribonuclease P (RNase P) is a ubiquitous endoribonuclease, found in archaea, bacteria and eukarya as well as chloroplasts and mitochondria. Its best characterised activity is the generation of mature 5'-ends of tRNAs by cleaving the 5'-leader elements of precursor-tRNAs. Lineage: Bacteria; Pseudomonadati; Myxococcota; Polyangiales; Sandaracinaceae. The record is from RNAcentral.
CGGAGCGGCUCGGGUGAUCGUCGGUGUCGUCAGCUUGCUGGCGGCGCGGGAGGAAAGUCCGAGCUCCGCAGGGCAGAAUGCCAGGUAACGCCUGGUGGGGGCGACCCCGAGGACAGUGCCACAGAGAGAAGACCGCCACGACGCCCCGCUCCCCUCGGGGGGAUGGGCCUCGCGGUAAGGGUGAAAGGGUGCGGUAAGAGCGCACCGGGCCGGCGGUAACGUCGGUCGCGAGGUAAACCCCAUUCGGAGCAAGACCAAAUAGGGAAGCGUUUGAGGGCGGCCCGCCUGAUGCUUCCGGGUAGUGUCGCUGGAGACGCACGGUGACGUGCGCCCUAGAUGAAUGACCACCACCCACGCGCCGGCGACGGACGUGGGGACAAAACUCGGCUUACGAGCUCUCCGACCG